This 696-nucleotide ribosomal RNA is filed under the name uncultured Bacteroidales bacterium. RNAcentral describes it as "bacterial SSU rRNA". It matches the Rfam family "Bacterial small subunit ribosomal RNA", at positions 76 to 771 of the family's 1533-position model. The record is from RNAcentral. Lineage: Bacteria; Pseudomonadati; Bacteroidota; Bacteroidia; Bacteroidales.
UUGCUUUGAUGGAUGGCGACCGGCGCACGGGUGAGUAACACGUAUCCAACCUGCCGACAACACUGGGAUAGCCUUUCGAAAGAAAGAUUAAUACCGGAUGGCAUAGUUUUUCCGCAUGGGAUAAUUAUUAAAGAAUUUCGGUUGUCGAUGGGGAUGCGUUCCAUUAGGCAGUUGGCGGGGUAACGGCCCACCAAACCAACGAUGGAUAGGGGUUCUGAGAGGAAGGUCCCCCACAUUGGAACUGAGACACGGUCCAAACUCCUACGGGAGGCAGCAGUGAGGAAUAUUGGUCAAUGGACGAGAGUCUGAACCAGCCAAGUAGCGUGAAGGAUGACUGCCCUAUGGGUUGUAAACUUCUUUUAUACGGGAAUAAAGUUAGCCACGUGUGGCUUUUUGUAUGUACCGUAUGAAUAAGGAUCGGCUAACUCCGUGCCAGCAGCCGCGGUAAUACGGAGGAUCCGAGCGUUAUCCGGAUUUAUUGGGUUUAAAGGGAGCGUAGGCGGGUUGUUAAGUCAGUUGUGAAAGUUUGCGGCUCAACCGUAAAAUUGCAGUUGAUACUGGCGACCUUGAGUGCAACAGAGGUAGGCGGAAUUCGUGGUGUAGCGGUGAAAUGCUUAGAUAUCACGAAGAACUCCGAUUGCGAAGGCAGCUUACUGGAUUGUAACUGACGCUGAUGCUCGAAAGUGUGGGUAUCAA